Molecule: RNA transcript, 1721 nt
Organism: Caretta caretta (loggerhead turtle)
Lineage: Eukaryota; Metazoa; Chordata; Testudines; Cheloniidae
Gene: MAP6
Gene name: microtubule associated protein 6
Source: RefSeq, a predicted model, not a curated record
CUGAGCGGCGCUGCUGACAGCGGGGCUGGGUGGGGCCUUUUUCUCUGCAGCCGCCGCGGCGGCGAUGCUCCGCUCUCCGCGCAGAUGAUGGCUAGGGGGCGGCUGCUCCUCCAGCCGCGGCCGUGAGAUCCGCAGCGGCGCCAGCCGGGGAGAGACGCGGGUGUGCGGGGAGAGGCCAGGCUGUCUGGGAGGGGAAGAGGUUGAGGCGUCGCCAUGGCUUGGCCCUGCAUCACCCGGGCGUGCUGCAUCGCCCGCUUCUGGAACCAGCUGGACAAGGCGGACAUCGCGGUCCCUUUGGUCUUCACCAAAUACUCCGAGGCCACUGAGAACCCCACGGCCCAGGUGGGUUUGCAGCAGCAGCAGCCACGCCCUUCCUCUGCCAUCGAGACCCAGCCCUCCAUCCUUGGCAGCGACCUGGAUGCAGUUGCCAAGGCGACUGCGGCAGGGGGGGACCACAAGGCAGGGCCGGGGCAGCAGCCUCUGGCCGACUCGGUGAUGCGCCAGGACUACAAGCACUGGAAGGCGCAGCGGCCGGAGCCCAGCUGCAAACCCAAGAGCGAGUACCAGCCCUCGGAAACCCCCUUUGAGAAGGAGAGUCAGUACCAGAAGGAUUUCCGAGCUUGGCCCAUCCCCAAGAGAGGGGACCACCCCUGGAUCCCCAAGCCAGCCCCGUCCCCUGGGCCAGCCCUGGACAAGGGCCCCCAGGAGAAACCUCCCAGCCAGGAGAAGAGGAGGAAGCUGCAGCCAGGGCAGGAGAAGAAGGAGGAGGAGGCAGAGCAAAGGGCAAAGGAGGAGCAGCCCAAGGUGGCCAGGGCUGAGGAAGGGCGGAAGAAGAGGGUCCAGGUGGUCGAGGAUGGGGGGCAGCAGCAGCCCGGGCUCUCGGCGUCCCAGGAGGCGGCCAAAGGGCGAGCAGCGGUGGAUGCCCUCAACAGGCAGAUCAGGGAGGAAUCAGCAGCCGGGGUGAGCAGCUCCUACAGAAAUGAAUUCAGACCUUGGGUAGAUGUCAACAGAGUCAAGCUUAUAAAAGCUAAGCCCCAGUACAAGCCCCCGGACGAGAAAGUGAGCCACGAAACCAGUUACAGCUCUCAAUUCAAGGGGGAGCCCAGCAAGCCUGUACAAGCUGAUAACAAAUUCAUCGAUCGCAGGAGGAUACGCAGCCUGUACAGUGAGCCCUUCCAAGAAUCUUCAAAGGUGGAGAAGCGUAGUGUUCAGCCUUCCAAACCAAAAAAGACAACGACGAGCCAUAAACUACUGAAAAAGGCCAAAGACAAGCAGAUUGCAUCUGGCCGGGCUGCCAAGAAAAAGAGUGCUGAGAGCUCCAGUGGGACAAAGCCAGAGGACAAGGAGAAAAAUCUCUUUCCCAAGCUGCCUGCAACCAGAGUUAUGAGCUGCUGCCUAGCAUCCAUCCCGUCCUUAGGGCACCGAUCUGUCACCUUGUCAUAGCACAUCAUUAAUUUCUGCUGCAAACUUGGCGAGACCCCAGUUUUGUUGGAUGAUACGUUGUCACAGACGGACCCUCGAUAAAGCCACCGGUGCUACAGACCAGGAACCAAGUACCUUAGCCCAGGACCCACCUACAUGAAGUGAAGCACUUCAUUCUGAGCGGCGGCUGGGACAAACACAGCGCCUGCAUGAAACAUGUAUCGUCCUAUGGCGUACAAUAAAAAUGGUGAACUGCUUGGACUGGGAUCUUCUGUUGCCCGUCAGGCACUGAAACGUUA